CAGCCGCCACGGUAAUACGAAGGGGGCUAGCGUUGUUCGGAAUUACUGGGCGUAAAGCGCACGUAGGCGGAUAUUUAAGUCAGGGGUGAAAUCCCAGAGCUCAACUCUGGAACUGCCUUUGAUACUGGGUAUCUUGAGUAUGGAAGAGGUGAGUGGAAUUCCGAGUGUAGAGGUGAAAUUCGUAGAUAUUCGGAGGAACACCAGUGGCGAAGGCGGCUCACUGGUCCAUUACUGACGCUGAGGUGCGAAAGCGUGGGGAGCAAACAGGAUUAGAUACCCCAGUAGUCCCUGUCUCUUAUAU
Molecule: ribosomal RNA, 301 nt
Filed under: uncultured bacterium
Lineage: Bacteria
Description: partial 16S ribosomal RNA
Rfam family: Bacterial small subunit ribosomal RNA
Source: RNAcentral